This 119-nucleotide ribosomal RNA is filed under the name Pteropus alecto (black flying fox). Lineage: Eukaryota; Metazoa; Chordata; Mammalia; Chiroptera; Pteropodidae. The record is from RNAcentral.
GUCUACAGCCAUGCUACUCUGAACAAGCCUGAUCUUGUCUGCUCUCAGAGAUUAAGCAAGGUCGGGCCUGGUUACUACUUGGAUGGGAGACCACCUAGGAAGACCAGGUGCUGUAGGAG